RNAcentral lists this ribosomal RNA (466 nucleotides) under uncultured bacterium. RNAcentral's name for it is "partial 16S ribosomal RNA". It matches the Rfam family "Bacterial small subunit ribosomal RNA", at positions 28 to 507 of the family's 1533-position model. The record is from RNAcentral.
GACGAACGCUGGCGGUGUGCUUAACACAUGCAAGUCGAACGGUAAGGCCCUUUCGGGGGUACACGAGUGGCGAACGGGUGAGUAACACGUGAGUAACCUGCCCUCAUCUCUGGGAUAACAGUCGGAAACGGUUGCUAAUACUGGAUAUGAGCUUGCAAGGCAUCUUGUGGGUUGGAAAGAUUUUUUUGGUUGGGGAUGGACUCGCGGCCUAUCAGCUUGUUGGUGAGGUAGUGGCUCACCAAGGCUUCGACGGGUAGCCGGCCUGAGAGGGCGGCCGGCCACAUUGGGACUGAGAUACGGCCCAAACUCCUACGGGAGGCAGCAGUGGGGAAUAUUGCACAAUGGACGGAAGUCUGAUGCAGCAACGCCGCGUGCGGGAUGACGGCCUUCGGGUUGUAAACCGCUUUCAAUUGUGACGAAGCUUUUUGUGACGGUAGCAGUAGAAGAAGCACCGGCUAACUACGUG